CUUGAACACAAUUCUUAACCAAUACAUCUAACAACUUCACUCAUGACUCAAAAAUAAAGUUUAAAUGGGCAGAGGUAUAAACAUUUAAAAAUUAAACUAUGAGUAUAUAAACAAUUAGAACUUUUUUUAUAACUUCAGAGAAGGAAAAAAAAUCUUUCUAAGUGUGACUUGAAACACAGAAAACUAACAAAUUAAACUACAUAAAAUGCAAAAUUUUCUGCAUUACAAAAACUCAUCAUAAAGGUUGGGAAUAUGGCUCAGUUGGUAAAGUGCUUGUCUCACAUGCACAAGGCCCUGGGUUCAAUCCCCAGCACCACCAAAACAAAAACAAAACAAAGCAAAACAAAAAAAACAAAAAUAAGAACUCAUCAUAUACAUCAAAAGACAAACUGAGGACAAAAAAUGUAAUACAUAAAGAGCUAGUUUUCUUAAUAUUGAAAAGCAUUUAUAAAUCAAUGUGAUUUUUUCCCAAUAAUAAAUCUUUUGUCUAAUACCUGUGGGCAAAGGAUAGGAACAGAUAUUUCACAGAAAAGAAAAUAAAUACACUAAAAGGUGAUGUGCCUACCUCAAAACAAAUUUAUAAAUGUAUAAAAUACAAUUUUUUACUUCUAAAUUGACAAAGAUAAAAAAUUUUGGUAAUAUUUAGUGGACAAGUAUGGUACAAGAGCCAUCUCUAUACAAUUUUUGGUGAGAGUGAAAAUUUGUACAACUGGUGGACAAUAGGCAAUAUCAGCAUUGAAAAUACACACACCCUUUGAUCUGUCAAUUCAACCUUUAGGAAUUUCUCCUACAUCUGUACUCAUUGCUGUGACAAGACUUCUUCUACACAUGAGGUGCGUGUCAGCAUUAUUUUGUUGAACAAAAGAUUUCAAGUAAUGAAAUAUCCAAGAACACAAAAUUGAAGAUAAAUUGUGUUUUGUUCCACCAAAGAACACUAUGUAGGCAGUAAAGAAAGUUUAAAAAGAAAAUGUGUUCAUGUUGCUAAACAAAAAAACAAAAAAAGGGAAAAAC
Molecule: long non-coding RNA, 1011 nt
Filed under: Marmota monax (woodchuck)
Lineage: Eukaryota; Metazoa; Chordata; Mammalia; Rodentia; Sciuridae
Rfam family: tRNA (bases 247-319)
Source: RNAcentral